This 568-nucleotide ribosomal RNA is filed under the name Etmopterus pusillus (smooth lanternshark). RNAcentral describes it as "partial 16S ribosomal RNA". It matches the Rfam family "Bacterial large subunit ribosomal RNA", at positions 1851 to 2611 of the family's 2925-position model. The record is from RNAcentral. Lineage: Eukaryota; Metazoa; Chordata; Chondrichthyes; Squaliformes; Etmopteridae.
GGUCCCGCCUGCCCUGUGACAAUGUUUAACGGCCGCGGUAUUUUGACCGUGCGAAGGUAGCGUAAUCAUUUGUCUUUUAAAUGAAGACCCGUAUGAAAGGCAUCACGAGAGCUUAACUGUCUCUAUUUUCUAAUCAAUGAAAUUGAUCUUCUCGUGCAGAAGCGAGAAUAUAUACAUUAGACGAGAAGACCCUAUGGAGCUUUAAACACUUAAAUUAAUUAUGUAAAAACUAUUAAUCCACGGAGACAAAUUACUUAUAUAAUAUUUCUAAUUUAACUGUUUUUGGUUGGGGCGACCGAGGGGAAAAUAAAAUCCCCCUUAUCGAUUGAGUACUUAGUACUUAAAAAUUAGAACGACAGUUCUUUUUAAUAAAACAUUUAACGAAAAAUGACCCAGUUUUUCUGAUCAAUGAACCAAGUUACCCUAGGGAUAACAGCGCAAUCCUUUCCAAGAGUCCAUAUCGCCGAAAGGGUUUACGACCUCGAUGUUGGAUCAGGACAUCCUAAUAGUGCAACCGUUAUUAAGGGUUCGUUUGUUCAACGAUUAAUAGUCCUACGUGAUCUGAGUU